AGGGCUCCGGGGACGGUCCAUAAUUCGCGUUGCACGACAGGGUUGACCAAAUUUGAGUUUUCGUGAGGGCGUGGACGGAGUGAGUAAACAUGUCCCCACGCUGUCAUGCUCCCAAAUUACGGCGCCUACUCUGUUUUCUGAUUCACUGAACCGAGCGAGUUCUCGUCGCAUCGUAUGCGCCUCCUUCUCUGAUUCCCCAAAAAUAUUCCCUGUUUUGCUGUUCUUUUCUUCCUCGUAAUCCGCUCGGCUUCCAUUGUUGCCGCCGCUACCGACGGCGACGGCAGACAUCAAGUGUCAGUCCUCCUUCCGCCGAAGUCUUCUUUUGGUUGGACUCCGACUCUCCGACAGGAGUUGCGCUCCUCCUCCCCCUCUACUCUACUGGAUUACACUAGCGUGGAGAUCCAUCUCUAUUUGUUUUUGGUCUCUUCUUUGCUUGGGGCAAGGUCAAUCACAGUUGAUAAGAUACCACUUGUACUCUAAUCUGUCAGUCUCCACGUGCGGCUGCAUAUAUACUGUUUCAAAAUUUCGGAGUAAGGUCUGAAGUCUGAACCCUCAUGCUGCUUCAGAGGGAUUGAGGCUGGUUGUUGGUCGCACUUGCACAUGGCGCAGCCACAGCAGCGGGUGUACCAAGCUUGGAAGGGGGAUAACAGGUUCUUCUUUGGUGGGCGGUUGAUAUUUGGACCAAAUGUUAAAUCUCUAGGUGUUUCUGUUGCCCUCAUUGUUAUCCCAGUUGCUGUUUUUUGUGUGUUUGUCGCACACCAUCUCCGUCAUCAGUUUCAUGCAUAUGAUGCAGGAUAUGCAAUUCUUGUCAUAGCAAUAGUGCUCACAAUUAGGGAUGAAAACGGUUUCGGAAUUUUUCGGAAUUCCGGAAACCGAUUUCGAAAUUUUUCGAUCGGAUUCAUCGGUAACGGUAUUUUUCGAAAACGGAAUCGGUUUUCGGAAUUUUCUAUCGGAAUCGGUAUCGGAAUCGGCGUGGUGUUUUACCGACCGUUUCCAUCGGUUACCGGUUUUUGUCGGAAAUUACCGGAUUUAUGUCUCGGAAAUUUCCGGAAUUGUGUUUCGGAAUUUUUUCGGAAUUUUCCAGCAUGUGAUUUUUUCGCAUCGCCUGUACAUCUCUGGAUAAGGAUUACUUAUUUUGUAUUUUUUGGACGCUUUAAGAUUUUUUUGGGUUAGAUGGUGUUGGAAGGCAGUUGAGAUUAACGAUUUGGUCUCUCGAACGAAUCCACCAUUUUCUAUGCACAUGUUAUGUAUUAGUAAUAUAUAACGAUAGAGAGCCGACAGUCUGUCUUUUCCACACACUAGAUUUUAGGGUUUUCCUGUGAGGCUGUGAAAAAACCUUUUAUGUAAGGAAAAAAUAUUUCAUGAGUAAGUAUGUCACGUCAACUAAAUCGAGUGGAUAUUGUGAAUUGUGAACUUUGAAUAUGUUAACUUGUGAUCUUUAUGAACUUGUUAUACUGUGAACUUGUUAUAUUGUGAACUUAUGAUCUUUGUAAACUUUUUAUAUUAUAAAUUUGUGAUCCUUGUGAACUUGUUAUAUCAUGAAUUGUGAACUUGUGGUAUUUGUGAUGUUUUGUCAAUUUUGUUUUAUUGUGAAGUUUGAUAUGUUUACCAAUCAUAUUUUAGAUUUCGACCGUUACCGGUGUAUUUUCCGCACCGAACUUUCGUUUCCGAUGUUUCCGAAAUACCGAUAUCGUUUCCGUUUCCGGAGUUACCGUUUUCGAUUUUGUUUCCGAUAAAAAAUAUGAAAACGGUAAUGGUUUUAGUGUUUACCGACCGUUUACGACCGUUUUCAUCCCUACUCACAAUCUAUGUGCUUCUAUUACUCUUAACCACUGCCGCUCGGGAUCCGGGAAUUGUACCUCGUGCUUCACAUCCACCUGAGGAUAUUCACUAUGAUAAUUUGUCUCUUACUGACACACCUGGAAUACUACAGUUCCCCUGUGUAAAAGAAGUUAUAGUAAAUGGGAUGCCUGUGAAAGUAAAAUAUUGUGAAACUUGUAUGGUUUUUCGCCCACCUCGGUGUUCACACUGUUCCAUUUGCAACAAUUGUGUGGAACGCUUUGAUCACCACUGUCCAUGGGUAGGACAGUGCAUUGGAAAGGUAAGCUAUUGUAUUGGAAUCAAAUCAUGAAUUUUGCAUUCUAUGGAUACACUAAGAAGUAAGAACAGUGCAUUGGAAUCAAAUCAUAUAUAAAAACAUUGACUGCACUAAGAACAAAUUUGCCAUCUCUCUAGCAAAAGGGAAAACUGAUAAUUUCUUAAAUAACAUGUGCAGUUUAUAAUUUGCAUGUUUGAUCUGACAUAGUAACUUCACCAAACUAGAAUGAAGGCAUGUUUGGAAGUAAAGUGUUUUUAUAGUUUAUACUUUAUAGGCAAUACCAUGAUUUAUAGGUAGGGGUGGGCAAAAUAAAAUUGAUACCGAAAAACCAAACCGAACCAAAUAAACUGAAAAAUUCAUUUUUUUUAAUUUCGGUUUUCGGUUCGUUUUUUAAUUCUCGAUAAUCCGGUUACUCGGUUUUGGUUCGGUUUUCAAUCCAUAGAAACUGGAUACACCGAAUAAACCGAGCACUUGGAGCUUUCCUGCUUGUGUGCGUCAGCCUUCAGUGCUCAUGUCAUGCGUUGUCUAGGCCCAGGAGCAAGUAGCCCAAGCCAAGGCAUCCAGGCCCAGCGACCAAAAUCAGAUUCUAAUUUUCACGUGAACAUGCAGGAGGCAGCCUAGCUCGGCAGCUCCCACAGCCGAGAGCUGACCACGCGGAUCUAGAAUUUCGGUUUAAAACCGAAAAAACCGAACCGAAAUAAUCCGGUUAAUACGGUCCGGUUUCUAUUUUUUCAACAUGUAUUUCAGUUCUUGCUUUUUUAAAACCGAACUUUUUCAAAACCGUAUUAACCGAACUGGACCUAAUAAACCAAAUGCCCACCCUUAUUUAUAGGAAUACCAUGGUAUUUUAUAUCAUGAGGUAUUUGGUUGCAUCCCUGAAAAUUGUGUUCGCGAAACUGUGGUAUUCUAUAUACCGUGGUAUCAUCGGAGUAUUGGAAACUCAACUCUAGCCUAAAGUUUUCAUGGCAUGACUAUCUUUUGCCUAAAUACUGUAUCCAAACAAUAGCUUAUAUUCUUGGAGUUGGCCAAAACUAUGGUAUUGGUAUUGACAAUUACAAAGUAUAGUAAAACCAUGGUUUUGAGAGAAACAUUGUUACUAAACAAGCCCUGAGAGAAGUUCCUCGCAUCCAUGUGAUGAUCUCUUAUGAUAAGGUUUUAUUUCGCUAAUCUUCUCAUUUUGAACAACUUAUGCAUCUGAUAUUGAGGAAAUGUGAUUCCCAUGAACAUUUCUUGGAAUUAUUUUCUUCAUUCUAAAUUGAUUAAGUCAUUCCGUAUAUUUAUCUCUUUACUUGCUGAUUUCUACUUAUCCUACUUGUCCAUUGUGCAGCGCAAUUGCCGUUAUUUUUUCCUAUUUGUUGUCUCUUCAAGUCUCCUCUGCAUUUAUUUGUUUGUUAUAUCGGCCUUGUACAUCAAGUUUCUCAUGGAUGGAGACUAUCCUACAGUUUGGAAGGCAUUGAAACAUUCCCCUGCUUCUCUAGCACUAAUGAUAUACUGUUUUAUCUCUCUCUGGUUUGUUGGUGGGCUCACAGGAUUUCAUACAUAUCUCAUCAGCACUAAUCAGACCACAUACGAAAAUUUUCGGUACAGGUCGGAUGGCAGGCUUAAUGUCUAUGAUCAAGGGUGUCUGAGUAACUUUCAAGAAGUAGUGUGUGCCAAGAUAGAGCCUUCUAAACAUAAGUUCCGGGCGCACAUACAAGAGGAAGUGCGAGGUCCACUAGCUAACCGUGCUGGAGAGACUGAAGAAGAACAAGUUGGUGGUCCUCGAGCGUAAGCGGGGGAUGGCCUCGAUAUUGAUGGUGAUCUGAUGAAGAUUUCACAUAGGCAUAACCAUGAGGACAUCGAUAUUGAAAUAGGAUGUGGGGAUGCUAAUGAGGUGGAAUGCUCAGUUUCAGAUUCCAAAGUUAAAGACAAUAUGGAUGCACAUAUGUGAUAUGUAGAGUUAGAAAUAAGGUAAAUGGAGAACAGUCGAGUUGGGUUCCAGCGGUUUAAUGAAUGUGUUUGUUUAGUUCAUAAGUAGGCAAAAUGCCGUCUCCUCCGGUGGUUUCAGCAUUAUUCUUUUUGUAAAUGGCUAGUGCAGGAUACUUAGGAUGCUACCCUGCAGGUUCUCUUGUGCAUUCCGACCAGCGUGUGUGUUGAAUUCUUACCCUCGGAUCCUUCAGAAGACGUUUGUGUAUAGUGUCUUGGUUGAGAAAUCCCAAGAUGGUGUAUGAAUUCAGAUUGGUAGUUCUAAACUUGUUGUCUUUCAGUUCCACACAGGCAGAAGUCA
This is an RNA transcript of Zea mays, 4364 nucleotides long. It is a transcript of the gene named protein S-acyltransferase 8, with no coding region annotated. The transcript has 5 exons. Lineage: Eukaryota; Viridiplantae; Streptophyta; Magnoliopsida; Poales; Poaceae. The record is from RefSeq and is a predicted model, not a curated record.